ACCUUGCGAGCAGUACUGGCGGGCUUCUUGCCCCCCACCGACUACUCCUACUUGUCGGUCAACUGCCACUGAAUGUGCUUGCGGUUGUGUCAAUCUUUCGGGAGCCAUUCGUCCACAAAACGGAAGCGCAUCGCCCAAUGUAAAAAGAAAGCAGAUGGGCGCGCCUGGAAUCAGUGGUUAAAUGAUUGACGCUAAAGUUGCGGUCAUUGUUUGGCCACGACAGCAAGAGGACUCAUAUUUUUUCGUGGUUCUAUUCGCGCGUAGCCAACUGCAGUGAGAAGCAUGUAUGACUUUUGUAUAUGGAAUAAAGGCACACAAAACAAUUCAUAGACAGA
Long non-coding RNA from Dermacentor andersoni, 335 nucleotides. RefSeq lists it as uncharacterized. The record is from RefSeq and is a predicted model, not a curated record. NCBI's taxonomy places the organism in Eukaryota, Metazoa, Arthropoda, Arachnida, Ixodida, Ixodidae.